UAGUACACUUGAAUUUAAUUAAUGGGUACUAGAAUAUUAGAAGUUAUGUUCUUUAAAUUUAAAAAAUUUGGCGGUGUUUUAGUCUAGUUAGAGGAACCUGUUUUAUAAACGAUACAACACGCAUUAUCUUACUUGCUUUGGUGAUUCAGCUUGUAUACCGUCAUUAUGAGAUAAUUUAGGAGAAAAUAUUGUUAUAAUCAUAUUAUUGAAUAUAUUAGAUCAAGGUGCAGCUUAUGGGUAAGUAAAUAUGGGUUACAAUAAAAUUUAUUUAAUAUGAAUUAGGUAUUAAAAUAUAUUUAUGAAGGAGGAUUUAAUUGUAAGGAGAAAAAUAGCAAGAUUUUCUGAUAAAAGCUCUAAAUUAUGUACAUAU
Molecule: ribosomal RNA, 370 nt
Filed under: Cambarus cf. deweesae Vaden Hollow
Lineage: Eukaryota; Metazoa; Arthropoda; Malacostraca; Decapoda; Cambaridae
Description: partial 12S small subunit ribosomal RNA
Source: RNAcentral